RNAcentral lists this microRNA precursor (103 nucleotides) under Marmota monax (woodchuck). Lineage: Eukaryota; Metazoa; Chordata; Mammalia; Rodentia; Sciuridae. The record is from RNAcentral.
AGUGGUAUAGCUGGGCGAAAUGGUGGUUCCAUUCUGAGUUUUCUAAGGAAUUUCCAUACUGUUUUCCAGAUUGGUUGCACCAAUUUGCAGUCUCACCAGCAGU